CUUUCCACCCAGGAAACCCAGCAGGGUUUGGCACAUCUGGAUGGAGCACUCAAUUUAGGAGCACAUGCAGAUUUUCGGCAAUUCAGGAACCAGGGGCAUUUUUCAUUUUUGUUUUCCCUGUUAUUUAUUUUCUUCACCUCAGGUUUUUGAAAACCAGAAACAGAUGGACUAAUCCAAGCUCCUCAGAGCAGACGGCGUCUCAAGCUCCCUGCGUUGAGGAAUGGAGCUCCCCUGCAGAGAGCUGCAGCCGUGGAAUAAUUGACUCCAGCUCUGCCGUGGAAAGAACCCCCUGAGAACUUUAAACCAUUAGCCUUUCCACUGGCCCCAUGGUCAACAACUGGUGGGAAGAUGUGUCCUCGUCUGAUCCUUGGGGUCACAAGCAUCACCCAGCUGCCAGACGUUGGGUAUCAUGGACCUGCUGGGGUGAUUCAGUAUCUACUGCAACUCUAGCUGGUGGAGAGCCUGCUUUCCCUUCCUGA
This 479-nucleotide long non-coding RNA is filed under the name Ovis aries (sheep). RNAcentral describes it as "lncRNA (ENSOARG00000026797.1)". Lineage: Eukaryota; Metazoa; Chordata; Mammalia; Artiodactyla; Bovidae. The record is from RNAcentral.